GUGACCUCUUUUCAAUGUGUAAUAUAUCUUCUAAAAAUCUGGGACAUUCUUAUGAAUUAAAUUUUAAAUUGAAGGAAAACUUUCAUUUUUUAUGAACUAACAUUAAAAUUUGGGGACAUACUGUCUUUUUUCUUUCUGAAUGGACUUUCACAUAUUUGGGAAAAAUUUCAUUUUUUGCAUGAACUAUUGAAUUUCUAGACCAACUUCUAAAAAUAUCUAGAAGAACUUUUAAAAUUUGUAGACUUCAGAUGAAGUUUAAUUUGUUUUUCAAAACGAACUUUCAAUAGAUGCCAGACUAACUUUCAAAUUUCCAAAAAAACUUUUAAAAAACUGUAUGGAAUUUAAAACACUAUAGACCAACUUUCAUUAGAUCUCACACAACUUUCAAAUUUUACAAACGAAACCUUUUUGGGCG
Molecule: long non-coding RNA, 415 nt
Filed under: Brachypodium distachyon (stiff brome)
Lineage: Eukaryota; Viridiplantae; Streptophyta; Magnoliopsida; Poales; Poaceae
Description: long non-coding RNA (BDIS_LNC001339)
Source: RNAcentral